Long non-coding RNA from Hyposmocoma kahamanoa, 207 nucleotides. RefSeq lists it as uncharacterized. The transcript is spliced from 3 exons. Lineage: Eukaryota; Metazoa; Arthropoda; Insecta; Lepidoptera; Cosmopterigidae. The record is from RefSeq and is a predicted model, not a curated record.
CUCGUGCUUACAGAUAGUGGACGGAACUAAUCACAACCCUAAAGGAGUUAAGACGCUCCGGCAAGAUCAGUGGCAGAAACGUGAAAUUUAAAAUUGAAGUCUGAAUGUUCCAAUAUAAAUGCUCAGUCUGCUGGUUUCGGGACCAGAGCUGCCGGUUUCCGGAUUGGAGCUGCCGGUUUCUUUCUUUGCAACGCCCAGACCCUCCUC